UUAUAUCUUCAGGGCAGGGUGCAAGUCCCUACCGGCGGUAUAGCCCGCGAGCCGUAAGGUUGAUUCGGUGAAAGUCCGAAGCCGACAGUAUAGUCUGGAUGGGAGAAGAUAAUU
This is a regulatory RNA element of Clostridium sp. N3C, 114 nucleotides long. It matches the Rfam family "FMN riboswitch aptamer (RFN element)". From Rfam's summary of the family: The RFN element is a highly conserved domain that is found frequently in the 5'-untranslated regions of prokaryotic mRNAs that encode for flavin mononucleotide (FMN) biosynthesis and transport proteins. The record is from Rfam. Lineage: Bacteria; Bacillati; Bacillota; Clostridia; Eubacteriales; Clostridiaceae.